AAUGCUUCAGGUAGUCAUAUGCUUGUCUCAAAGAUUAAGCCAUGCAUGUCUAAGUAUAAGCAAUUAUACAGCGAAACUGCGAAUGGCUCAUUAUAUAAGUUAUCGUUUAUUUAAUAGUACCUUACUACUUGGAUAACCGUGGUAAUUCUAGAGCUAAUACAUGCUAAAAAUCCCGACUUCGGAAGGGAUGUAUUUAUUAGAUUAAAAACCAAUGGCCUCUGGGCUCUCUGGUGAUUCAUGAUAACUUCUCGAAUCGCAUGGCCUUGCGCCGGCGAUGGUUCAUUCAAAUUUCUUCCCUAUCAACUUUCGAUGUUUGGGUAGUGGCCAAACAUGGUUGCAACGGGUAACGGAGGGUUAGGGCUCGACCCCGGAGAAGGAGCCUGAGAAACGGCUACUACAUCCAAGGAAGGCAGCAGGCGCGCAAAUUACCCAAUCCCGACACGGGGAGGUAGUGACAAUAAAUACUGAUACAGGGCUCUUUUGGGUCUUGUAAUUGGAAUGAGUACAAUUUAAAUCCCUUAACGAGGAACAAUUGGAGGGCAAGUCUGGUGCCAGCAGCCGCGGUAAUUCCAGCUCCAAUAGCGUAUAUUAAAGUUGUUGUGGUUAAAAAGCUCGUAGUUGAACCUUGGGCCUGGCUGGCCGGUCCGCCUCACCGCGUGUACUGGUCCGGCCGGGCCUUUCCCUCUGUGGAACCCCAAUGCCCUUCACUGGGUGUGGCGGGGAAACAGGACUUUAACUUUGAAAAAAUUAGAGUGCUCCAGGCAGGCCUAUGCUCGAAUACAUUAGCAUGGAAUAAUGAAAUAGGACGUGCGGUUCUAUUUUGUUGGUUUCUAGGACCGCCGUAAUGAUUAAUAGGGACAGUCGGGGGCAUCAGUAUUCAAUUGUCAGAGGUGAAAUUCUUGGAUUUAUUGAAGACUAACUACUGCGAAAGCAUUUGCCAAGGAUGUUUUCAUUAAUCAGGAACGAAAGUUAGGGGAUCGAAGACGAUCAGAUACCGUCGUAGUCUUAACCAUUAACUAUGCCGACUAGGGAUCGGACGAUGUUAUUUUUGGACUCGUUCGGCACCUUACGAGAAAUCAAAGUGCUUGGCCUCCAGGGGGAGUAUGGUCGCAAGGCUGAAACUUAAGGAAAUUGACGGAAGGGCACCACCAGGGGUGGAGCCUGCGGCUUAAUUUGACUCAACACGGGGAAACUCACCAGGUCCAGACACAAUGAGGAUUGACAGAUUGAGAGCUCUUUCCUUGAUUUUGUGGGUGGUGGUGCAUGGCCGUUCUUAGUUGGUGGAGUGAUUUGUCUGCUUAAUUGCGAUAACGAACGAGACCUUAACCUGCUUAAUAGCCCGUAUUGCUUUGGCAGUACGCUGGCUUCUUAGAGGGACUAUCGGCUCAAGCCGAUGGAAGUUUGAGGCAAUAACAGGUCUGUGAUGCCCCUAGAUGUUCUGGGCCGCACGCGCGCUACACUGACGGAGCCAGCGAGUACUCCCUUGGCCGGAAGGCCCGGGUAAUCUUGUUAAACUCCGUCGUGCUUGGGAUAGAGCAUUGCAAUUAUUGCUCUUCAACGAGGAAUCCCUAAGCCUAUGGUUAACUGUAA
This 1590-nucleotide ribosomal RNA is filed under the name Cordyceps militaris. RNAcentral's name for it is "SSU rRNA". It matches the Rfam family "Eukaryotic small subunit ribosomal RNA", at positions 1 to 1640 of the family's 1831-position model. Lineage: Eukaryota; Fungi; Ascomycota; Sordariomycetes; Hypocreales; Cordycipitaceae. The record is from RNAcentral.